RNAcentral lists this ribosomal RNA (640 nucleotides) under bacterium Ss43. Its description in RNAcentral is "bacterial SSU rRNA". It matches the Rfam family "Bacterial small subunit ribosomal RNA", at positions 75 to 711 of the family's 1533-position model. The record is from RNAcentral.
GGGAACGAUAACGGCGUCGAGCGGCGGACGGGUGAGUAAUGCCUAGGAAAUUGCCCUGAUGUGGGGGAUAACCAUUGGAAACGAUGGCUAAUACCGCAUAAUACCUUCGGGUCAAAGAGGGGGACCUUCGGGCCUCUCGCGUCAGGAUAUGCCUAGGUGGGAUUAGCUAGUUGGUGAGGUAAUGGCUCACCAAGGCGACGAUCCCUAGCUGGUCUGAGAGGAUGAUCAGCCACACUGGAACUGAGACACGGUCCAGACUCCUACGGGAGGCAGCAGUGGGGAAUAUUGCACAAUGGGCGCAAGCCUGAUGCAGCCAUGCCGCGUGUGUGAAGAAGGCCUUCGGGUUGUAAAGCACUUUCAGUCGUGAGGAAGGUAGUGUAGUUAAUAGCUGCAUUAUUUGACGUUAGCGACAGAAGAAGCACCGGCUAACUCCGUGCCAGCAGCCGCGGUAAUACGGAGGGUGCGAGCGUUAAUCGGAAUUACUGGGCGUAAAGCGCAUGCAGGUGGUUUGUUAAGUCAGAUGUGAAAGCCCGGGGCUCAACCUCGGAAUAGCAUUUGAAACUGGCAGACUAGAGUACUGUAGAGGGGGGUAGAAUUUCAGGUGUAGCGGUGAAAUGCGUAGAGAUCUGACGGAAUUCCC